Molecule: ribosomal RNA, 253 nt
Filed under: uncultured bacterium
Lineage: Bacteria
Description: partial 16S ribosomal RNA
Rfam family: Bacterial small subunit ribosomal RNA
Source: RNAcentral
UACGUAUGGUGCAAGCGUUAUCCGGAUUUACUGGGCGUAAAGCGCGCGUAGGCUGUUGUGUAAGUUGGGGGUGAAAUCCCACGGCUCAACCGUGGAACAGCCCUUGAUACUGCGCGACUUGAAUCCGGGAGAGGGUGGCGGAAUUCCAGGUGUAGGAGUGAAAUCCGUAGAUAUCUGGAGGAACAUCAGUGGCGAAGGCGGCCACCUGGACCGGUAUUGACGCUGAGGCGCGAAAGCGUGGGGAGCAAACAGG